This 374-nucleotide ribosomal RNA is filed under the name uncultured prokaryote. RNAcentral describes it as "bacterial SSU rRNA". It matches the Rfam family "Bacterial small subunit ribosomal RNA", at positions 524 to 896 of the family's 1533-position model. The record is from RNAcentral.
UACAUGUGGGGCAAGCGUUGUUCGGAAUCACUGGGCAUAAAGGGUGCGUAGGCGGUAUUGUACGUCCGGGGUGAAAACCCAUGGCCCAACCAUGGAUCGGCCUUGGAUACGGCAGUACUUGAGUGCGUGAGGGGUGAUCGGAACGCGUGGUGUAGCGGUGAAAUGCGUAGAUAUCACGCGGAAGGCCAACGGCGAAGGCAGAUCACUGGCACGCAACUGACGCUGAGUGCACGAAAGCGUGGGGAGCAAACAGGAUUAGAUACCCUGGUAGUCCACGCCGUAAACGAUGGGCACUGGAUCGUCGCGGUACUAUGCCGUGGCGGUCGUAGGAAAUUCAUUAAGUGCCCCGCCUGGGGAGUAUGGUCGCAAGGCUG